Molecule: RNA transcript, 4591 nt
Organism: Xyrauchen texanus (razorback sucker)
Lineage: Eukaryota; Metazoa; Chordata; Actinopteri; Cypriniformes; Catostomidae
Gene name: disintegrin and metalloproteinase domain-containing protein 23-like
Exons: 28
Source: RefSeq, a predicted model, not a curated record
GUGAGCUGCUUGGCCACCCGUGAUGCCACCCCUUCGCCUUCUUCCCAGUCCUCCCCACCCCUCAGUAUCCCAACCGUGUUACCCACCCUCAGUCUCCGAUGCCGCAUGAAGGAUUUCCCUCUGUUCCCGCGGGAUACGCCAAAAAAACCAACAACGUUUAUCGCUCUCCCGAAAAUGGACCUGUAAAUUAACGCGCUAAUGCCGUUUUAUUUAGUCUUCAAAUAUGAAUCAUGCGUCUGAUAUUCCAUCUGUGUCUGCUCGCUUGCAUAUUUAUUUCCGUGCUGUCUUCAAUCACCUCAACGGUUUCCAACUCCGUGCAGUAUGACGAUCUCAGGGAUCAGCACGUGUCUGAGACCCCGAGAGGAGCGACAGCAGCUGCGCCGGACAAUUUCACGCGAACAUCGGGUGAGCACGAGGUCACGAUCACUUAUCCCUCGCGGCUCAUCUACUACUUAAAUGACGAGUUGGAGAGCGCGUGUCAUGAUCUGGACACUCGGGCGCGGAACCAAGCCGACGAUGGACAGGAAGUCCACCUGGCCCAAGCAAGUUUCCAGCUGGAAGGCUUUGGCACCACAUUCACUUUGGACCUUACUUUGAACAAUGACCUGUUGUCUUCAGAUUAUAUGGAGAUACACUAUGAGAAAGAUAAGACCGUUCUCUCCAGGGGUGGGGAACACUGCUACUACCAUGGCCAUGUGAGAGGAAAAGAGGAGUCCCGUGUAGCUCUCUCCACCUGCAAUGGGCUUCAUGGGAUGUUUGAUGAUGGUCAUUUUGUCUACAUCAUCGAACCUCUGAAACAGACUCACACAGCGGAAACAGAGGCUCGACCCCACACUUUGCGACGCACGUCAUCGCUCCAUAUGACCUCUGUUGCAGGUGACUGGGCUGCUGGUGACCCAGUUGAUGAAAAAGAGGAGGAGAAAAGGAUUUUUGCUAGCAUGCCUUGGCUGAAGAGAAGAAGGAAAAGAGCUAUGCCACGUAACAUUUUUGAGGAAAUGAAGUAUUUGGAAAUAAUGAUUGUUGCUGACCACAACACGUUUAAAAGGCAUAAGAGUAAAAAGCACACCCGGAACUCGGCCAAAUCAGUGGUUAACCUGGUAGACGCUAUUUUUAAGGAGCAGCUGAAUACGCGGGUGGUUCUGGUCGCUGUGGAGAUUUGGACGGACAGGGAUCGGAUUCCUCUCAGUGUGAAGCCACUGGAUAUGUUAAGAGAUUUUUCAAAGUACCGACAACAAAACAUCAACACAAAUGCUGAUGCUGUGCAUCUUUUCACAAAUGUGACAUUUCAUUAUGGUCGGAGCAGUGUUGCAUAUAUUGGUGGCGUAUGUUCCAAAGGACGAGGAGUCGGUGUCAGUGAGUUCGGCAGUACAUGGACGAUGGCUGCCACUCUCUCUCAGAGCUUAGCACAAAAUCUGGGCAUCCAGUGGGAUCCUGUGAUCAGGAGGAAGGAGUGCGGCUGCAUGGAUUCAUGGGUGGGAUGUAUAAUGGAGGACACUGGUGUACAACACCCUCGCAGGUUUUCUAAAUGCAGCAUCAGUGACUACAGAAACUUCCUUCUAAGAGGGGGCGCUUCAUGUCUGUUCAACAAACCCAGUAAGCUUUUUGAGACUACAGAAUGUGGGAAUGGUUAUGUGGAAGUGGGAGAGGAAUGUGACUGUGGGGCCCGAAUGGAAUGCUAUAAAGACUGCUGUAAAAAGUGUUCGUUAUCUAAUGGAGCUCACUGCAGUGACGGCCCCUGCUGCAACGGCACGUGCCUGUUUUACCCUCGGGGAUACAGCUGUCGAUAUGCCGUGAACGACUGUGACAUAUCAGAGACUUGUUCAGGAGACUCGGGACAGUGCCCCCCUAAUCUUCAUAAACAAGAUGGCUACCCUUGCCAGCUCAAUCAGGGCCGUUGUUAUAGUGGUGAAUGUAAGACCCGGGACAGUCAGUGCAAAUACAUCUGGGGUCCAAAGGCUGGAGGGUCAGAGAAGCACUGCUAUGAAAAGUUAAAUACAGAGGGGACAGAAAAAGGGAACUGUGGGAGAGAUGGAGACAAAUGGGUCCCCUGCAGCAAACACGAUGUGUUCUGUGGGUACCUACUCUGCUCCAAUAUUGGGAGAAGCCCAAAGAUUGGGACCCUGAAAGGCGACAUCACUCCCACCACCUUUAAUCAUCAGGGGCGACUGGUGGACUGCAGUGGGGGACACGUGGUGUUGGAUGAUGACACUGAUCUAGGGUAUGUGGAAGACGGUACGCUGUGUGGCCCCUCUAUGAUGUGCCUUGAGCGGAAAUGUCUACCCAUCUCCUCCCUGAACCUCACAGCGUGUCCGUCUGGCCCGAGCGGUCGCGUCUGCUCUUCUCACGGCGUGUGCAAUAAUGAAGCAACCUGCACAUGCGAUGCAACCUGGGCAGGGACUGACUGCAGCAUGCACGACCCCCCAAAAGAGCCACCUGUCAUCGAGGACCCGGGUCCUAAGGUGAGCGUGGCCACAAACAGGCUGAUAGGGGCAGUGGCAGGGACCAUUCUGGCCCUGGGGGUGAUUUUUGGAGGCACAGGGUGGGGAAUAGAGUCCUAGCGCCACCAACCUUAUCAUAGGCUCCAUCGCAGGGGCCAUCCUGAUGGCAGCCAUAGUGCUGGGGGGGACGGGAUGGGGAUUUAAGGUAAGAGUUUAAGCGGAGAGGGGUGGAGGUUGUGUCGUAGGCAGCCUUUGUGCCAUGGCUGGCUGCCACGCCCUCUUAUCUCCCGGAAGGCCCUGGGCCCCCCUGAAAACCUAGAACAGAUCAAGAGCCCUCACCCCCCACCCGGACUCGCCCGGCACCGCUGCCUUUACUGCCUGCUUCACAGAGACCUGAAAUGUCAAGAAAAGACGAUAUGACCCUAACGCCAGUGCCAUCUAAAGGCUAAGAGAACUGCAUCCUUGCCUAGCGUGCCCUUGGGUUUUAUCAGAACCUGCUGGACUGUACAUUGUCCUGCUGCUAACACCUCUGCUGACAGUGUUAGCAUUACUUGAAUAAACAAAGGAAAGAAAAAGACGAUAGAGACAGAACGAUUGAACAUUUUUCAUCUGAAGUCACAUAGAACUGCUUCUCUAGAGCUGCCCCUGUUCCUUUGCCCACUGACCCUGAGCAUCCACACGGAGCUAUUAGUAAACCAGAUAACUAAGUGGAUGGUACUCCACUCAUCGGGGCAUUACUUCCCGUUUAACGCACCCCCUGACCUCCGGAUCCGUUCCUGGCAUGACCAGCUUCAGCUGUGGACCUCGCAUGGCAGUGGAGGGACACCAAUGCAAGAAGAACAUAACAAUGAAUAUUGUCAAAUGUAAAAACAGUACAAAUAAGAAUGAUUUGGAGACAAACAUGUAUCAGAAUAGUCACAUAGGUCACAGUUCCAGUAGGGGGGUAACCUAUGUAUGGUAUGUGUGUUUCGAGGGGCUGAAUUGACUUGACCACUGAGAUGAGAGGGACUCAUAUCUUCUUAGACAAACAUUUCAAGGCAUAAAUGUAACGUUUUUUUGUUUUGUUUUGUUAUUUCAGCAUGUUAUAUUGCAGGUAUUUUCUGUAGUAUUAAUAAAAACAAGGAAACCCGAACAAUAAAGAAAAAAAUGGUUCCUAUUGGCCAGCAGUUUAUAGUGCUGCAUAACAAAAUCACCUAUAAACUGUAGUUCAGUAGAGGCACACACUCUUGUAUAUGCCUGAUGACGUCAAUUACUGUUCCCCUUAGAAAAAACUAAAAAACUAUUAUACUGGCUGGGCCCUGUAGGACUGCCCUGACCUGAAUGCCAUUGCUGGCCAAUCAGAGAGCUGCAUGAUGUAAUUGCACUGGGGGCGGAGCCCACACAGCCUGCUGCGCUUUUCAAGGUAUCUGCAUGUCAAAGGAAAACAGUUAACAUUUACUUACUAUGCAAAGGGGACACAUUGCACAAACCGUAAGGUUUGGUGAAGAAUUCUCAAGUGAGAAAUUGAUCUCUAGCUAACAGAUCAUUAAUAAGGCAGUCUUUUAUAUGCUCGGCCAUCUAUGUUUGACAUUAUAUUAAGCUUCGGAUUACUUAAAAUGAAUGUUUCUAUGAAAAUCUCAGCUUCUUAAAAUACAAAUGUCAUUAUCAUCUGUGUGGGACACGAUCAUUUAGGCACUAAUUGGUUUUAAUAGGAUGGGGCUGUUGAAGUAGAUGGAGCUCUAAUUUUGGGCAAUGCUAAUGUAAUAAGAGCAGAAACUGAGGGUGUUUUUCUAUGCCAUCACUGAUCUACAUCAUCAGGUUUUUGACGCAUCUUCCUAACCUUGACCCCUUUUACAACCAUCUCAUGUUCCCAUGAAAACAUUGCCAUAACAAAUAAAAUAAUGACAAUAAAGAACACGUUGACAAAAACAUUCCUCUUUGAGAUUAUUAUAUAUUUUGUAUGUAUGUACUUAGUGUAGACACUUAAUGUGUCCUUUUAGAUCUGUUUAGAUUUGAUUUUAUUAUGUUCAUGUUUUAUCCGAUAGACUUUCUUAAGUAAACAAAUCAUGUUUUUCAAAAAGAUCCAACGCAUAUAGUAUUAAAAAUCUACAAUUGAUAUAAAAAUCACAUAUUAACAGUAUUCCCAUGUGUCCUGGAAAUCCUGGAAUAUUGCA